RNAcentral lists this long non-coding RNA (795 nucleotides) under Homo sapiens (human). RNAcentral's name for it is "HSALNT0370866". Lineage: Eukaryota; Metazoa; Chordata; Mammalia; Primates; Hominidae. The record is from RNAcentral.
GUUGCCACGGUGAUUAUUCUAAACACAGCAGGUGAUGUAAUUCCCCUUGGGAGUGUGGCAUCAAGCAGAUGAAUUGGGCGCAUUGCAUCUGAUUCAGCCUCUUGAGGAGAAAGACUUCAUACUGAUCCAAAUAGACUCCCGAGAGGCAGAAAGAGGAAAAUGAUAAAUAAAUGCCAGCCAAGCUCUAAAAUGGAACACUCUAGCUGUGUGGCCACUGAAGCGUGAGUGGCUGAAACGAAGAGAAUGGACAUGGAGCCCACCCGGAAGAGCACCCUUAACAUCAUCAUAUCCCUGAAGCACGAGUCGGGGUGGUGGGACUGCCCUGGAAACCCUGCACACAGCUGGCUUGAGCAGUGGGUAUUUUCAUAAGGCAUAUAUGGGCAUCACAGAACACUUGGAGCUUUAAUGAAGACAGCUGCCAUUCUGUGAGCUGUUCUAUGAAGGAGCCCACUUGGCAAGGAACUGGGGGAGGUCUCAGAUUAACAGCCAGCAAGAAACUGAAUCCUGCUAACAACCACCUGAAUGAACAUGAAAGCAGACCCUUCCCCAAUUGAGUCUUCAGAUGAGACCCAGUGCUCACCUGCACCUAGGUUGGAGCCCUAAGAGAAACCUUGAAGCAGAGGAACCAGCUUAACCUGAUCCAUGGAAACUAUAAAAUAAAAUGUGUGUUGUUUAAACUGCUAAAUUUCUGGAAACUUAUUACCCAGCAGUACAUAUCUAGUGUAUAAGGAUUUACCAGAAGAAAAUAAUCAUGGAUGUGUGCAAAGAUCUAAACACAAUGACGUUCACUGCAAA